GCAUAUCAAUAAGCGGAGGAAAAGAAACUAACAAGGAUUCCCCUAGUAACUGCGAGUGAAGCGGGAAAAGCUCAAAUUUAAAAUCUGGUAGUCUUUGGCUGCCCGAGUUGUAAUCUAGAGAAGUGUUAUCCGCGCUGGACCAUGUAUAAGUCUCCUGGAAUGGAGCGUCAUAGAGGGUGAGAAUCCCGUCUUGGACAUGGACUACCAGGGCUUUGUGAUGCGCUCUCAAAGAGUCGAGUUGUUUGGGAAUGCAGCUCUAAAUGGGUGGUAAAUUCCAUCUAAAGCUAAAUAUUGGCGAGAGACCGAUAGUGAACAAGUACCGUGAGGGAAAGAUGAAAAGAACUUUGGAAAGAGAGUUAAACAGUACGUGAAAUUGUUGAAAGGGAAACGCUUGAAGUCAGUCACAUUAGCCAGGAAUCAGCUUUGCAUUUUGCUUAGUGUACUUUCUGGAUAAUGGGUCAGCAUCAAUUUUGACCAAUAGAAAAAGAUUAAAGGAAUGUGGCAUCUUCGGAUGUGUUAUAGCCUUUGAUUGUAUAUAUUGGUUGAGAUUGAGGAACUCAGCAUGCCUACAAGGCCGGGUUUUUACCACGUUCAUGCUUAGGAUGCUGGCAUAAUGGCUUUAAUCGACCCGUCUUGA
RNAcentral lists this ribosomal RNA (637 nucleotides) under Trichopilus tibiiformis. RNAcentral describes it as "partial large subunit ribosomal RNA". It matches the Rfam family "Eukaryotic large subunit ribosomal RNA", at positions 38 to 657 of the family's 3401-position model. The record is from RNAcentral. Lineage: Eukaryota; Fungi; Basidiomycota; Agaricomycetes; Agaricales; Entolomataceae.